This 587-nucleotide ribosomal RNA is filed under the name uncultured archaeon. Its description in RNAcentral is "bacterial SSU rRNA". It matches the Rfam family "Archaeal small subunit ribosomal RNA", at positions 1 to 584 of the family's 1478-position model. The record is from RNAcentral.
UUUCCGGUUGAUCCCGCCGGAAGCCACUGCUAUCGGGGUCCGACUAAGCCAUGCGAGUCAUGGGGCUCCCUUCGGGGAGCACCGGCGCACGGCUCAGUAACACGUGGCUAACCUACCCUCGGGUGGGGGAUAACCUCGGGAAACUGAGGCUAAUCCCCCAUAGGGGAGGAGGUCUGGAAUGAUCCCUCCCCGAAAGGCGUAAGCCGCCCGAGGAUGGGGCUGCGGCGGAUUAGGUAGUUGGUGGGGUAACGGCCCAUCAAGCCUACGAUCCGUACGGGCCCUGAGAGGGGGAGCCCGGAGAUGGACACUGAGACACGGGUCCAGGCCCUACGGGGCGCAGCAGGCGCGAAACCUCCGCAAUGCGCGAAAGCGCGACGGGGGGACCCCGAGCGCCCACGCUCUGCGUGGGCUUUUCCGGAGUGUAAACAGCUCCGGGAAUAAGGGCUGGGCAAGUCCGGUGCCAGCAGCCGCGGUAAUACCGGCGGCCCAAGUGGUGGCCACUGUUAUUGGGCCUAAAGCGUUCCGUAGCCGGCCCGGUAAGUCUCUGCUUAAAUCCUGCGGCUCAACCGCAGGGCUGGCAGAGAUAC